This 162-nucleotide unclassified non-coding RNA is filed under the name soil metagenome. Its description in RNAcentral is "partial internal transcribed spacer 1". The record is from RNAcentral.
CGAGUGAGGCCUCGUGGUCAGACUCCCAAACCCAUGUGAUCAGACUCUGUUGCCUCGGGGGCCGUACCCGGUAGCUACCCUGUAGCUACCCUGGAGUCCCCCGGUGGAUUCCACACAACUCUGCAUUCAUUUGUCAGCUCUGAGAUAAACAUAAUGAAAUCA